UAACGACUCUCGGCAACGGAUAUCUCGGCUCUCGCAUCGAUGAAAAACGUAGCGAAAUGCGAUACUUGGUGUGAAUUGCAGAAUCCCGUGAACCAUCGAGUCUUUGAACGCAAGUUGCGCCCGAAGCCUUCCGGCCGAGGGCACGUCUGCCUGGGCGUCACG
RNAcentral lists this ribosomal RNA (162 nucleotides) under Cylindropuntia rosea. RNAcentral describes it as "5.8S ribosomal RNA". It matches the Rfam family "5.8S ribosomal RNA". From Rfam's summary of the family: 5.8S ribosomal RNA (5.8S rRNA) is a component of the large subunit of the eukaryotic ribosome. It is transcribed by RNA polymerase I as part of the 45S precursor that also contains 18S and 28S rRNA. Functionally, it is thought that 5.8S rRNA may be involved in ribosome translocation. Lineage: Eukaryota; Viridiplantae; Streptophyta; Magnoliopsida; Caryophyllales; Cactaceae. RNAcentral also lists the same sequence under 1 other name. The record is from RNAcentral.